Long non-coding RNA from Symphalangus syndactylus (siamang), 625 nucleotides. RefSeq lists it as uncharacterized. The record is from RefSeq and is a predicted model, not a curated record. NCBI's taxonomy places the organism in Eukaryota, Metazoa, Chordata, Mammalia, Primates, Hylobatidae.
CUGUGCGAGGCUCAGGUGUUCUAGUUUCUUUGACAUUUCCCUUCCUGAAAGCGGCAAGGAGAAGACGGUCUGAGAGUGGGCAAACUUCAACGUUCGGUUACAGUGUAAUUAAUGAAAGUGAAAGGAAGAAAAAGACCUGAACAGUACAUCCAGAGAAUCCAGCAAAGCAUACCACGGCAUGAACAUGCAAGUGGACAGAAUUAAAACACAUGCCAGAAACACUAAUGGAUUCUAAACAAGACGCGGUUUCAUUUCCUGAACCUAUACUUGAUGUUCUUAACUGUUCUCCAGUUAAUAUGUCUCCAUUUCCAGAAAUCUAACAGGAGAAUCUCUGACUGCUUAACAGAUCACCUAAGCUUGCGAUUUGUGCAAUCCAUUCUAGAGUAAGGGCUCUCUGGCUGCUCCCUGGCCACUGUGUACCCAAAGCAGCGGCUGAAAUAGCCCGGGGUCCGACAGCUCAGCGUCAAGCAGCUCGUGGCAAACGCAGCCGCCGUCUUGACUGCCAUCAGCCCAAGGGGUUCCUCUGGGCUCUCCCGCGAGCCAACAGCCGACCUCUCUCCAGCCUAGUCUGGGAAACUCCAGCCAACCCAGGAUCCCAUUUUGUAGUCCCGGGCAGACCCGACAC